GACGAACGCUGGCGGCGUGCUUAACACAUGCAAGUCGAGCGGGGAUACGAGGGAGCUUGCUCCUGAGUAUUCUAGCGGCGGACGGGUGAGUAACGCGUGAGCAACCUUUCUCUCAGUGGGGAAUAACACAGGGAAACUUGUACUAAUACCGCAUGAGACCACAGAACCGCAUGGUUUAGGGGUCAAAGAUUUAUUGCUGAGAGGUGGGCUCGCGUCUGAUUAGGUAGUUGGUGAGGUAACGGCCCACCAAGCCGACGAUCAGUAGCCGACCUGAGAGGGUGAUCGGCCACAUUGGGACUGAGACACGGCCCAAACUCCUACGGGAGGCAGCAGUGGGGAAUAUUGGGCAAUGGGGGAAACCCUGACCCAGCAACGCCGCGUGGAGGAAGAAGGUUUUCGGAUUGUAAACCUCUGUCCUUGGUGACGAAAAUGACGGUAGCCAAGGAGGAAGCCACGGCUAACUACGUG
RNAcentral lists this ribosomal RNA (468 nucleotides) under uncultured bacterium. Its description in RNAcentral is "bacterial SSU rRNA". It matches the Rfam family "Bacterial small subunit ribosomal RNA", at positions 28 to 507 of the family's 1533-position model. The record is from RNAcentral.